GCGCCCGUAGCUCAAUGGAUAGAGCACUGGUCUACGGAACCAGUGGUUGGAGGUUCGAGUCCUCUCGGGCGCG
This 73-nucleotide transfer RNA is filed under the name Candidatus Omnitrophota bacterium. Its description in RNAcentral is "Candidatus Omnitrophica bacterium (groundwater metagenome) tRNA-Arg". It matches the Rfam family "tRNA". Rfam says of the family: Transfer RNA (tRNA) molecules are approximately 80 nucleotides in length. Their secondary structure includes four short double-helical elements and three loops (D, anti-codon, and T loops). Lineage: Bacteria; Pseudomonadati; Candidatus Omnitrophota. The record is from RNAcentral.